AUACGUAGGGGGCGAGCGUUGUCCGGAAUUACUGGGCGUAAAGGGCGUGUAGGCGGGGAUUUAAGUCAGAUGUGAAAGACCCGGGCUUAACUUGGGCAUUGCAUUUGAAACUGGAUUUCUUGAGGACAGGAGAGGAAAGCGGAAUUCCUAGUGUAGCGGUGAAAUGCGUAGAUAUUAGGAGGAACACCAGUGGCGAAGGCGGCUUUCUGGACAGUAACUGACACUGAGGUACGAAAGUGUGGGGAGCAAACAGGAUUAGAUACCCUGGUAGUCCACACCGUAAACGAUGAGCACUAGGUGUCGGGCUCGCAAGAGUUCGGUGCCGCAGUUAACGCAUUAAGUGCUCCGCCUGGGGAGUACGUACGCAAGUAUGAAACUCAAAUGAAUUGGCGGGG
Molecule: ribosomal RNA, 395 nt
Filed under: uncultured bacterium
Lineage: Bacteria
Description: partial 16S ribosomal RNA
Rfam family: Bacterial small subunit ribosomal RNA
Source: RNAcentral